RNAcentral lists this ribosomal RNA (446 nucleotides) under uncultured bacterium. Its description in RNAcentral is "bacterial SSU rRNA". It matches the Rfam family "Bacterial small subunit ribosomal RNA", at positions 330 to 793 of the family's 1533-position model. The record is from RNAcentral.
ACCAGACUCCUACGGGAGGCAGCAGUGGGGGAUAUUGCACAAUGGGGGGAACCCUGAUGCAGCGACGCCGCGUGGGUGAAGAAGCGCCUCGGCGCGUAAAGCCCUGUCAGCAGGGAAGAAAAUGACGGUACCUGAAGAAGAAGCCCCGGCUAACUACGUGCCAGCAGCCGCGGUAAUACGUAGGGGGCAAGCGUUAUCCGGAUUUACUGGGUGUAAAGGGGGCGCAGACGGCGAUGCAAGCCAGGAGUGAAAGCCCGGGGCCCAACCCCGGGACUGCUCGUGGAACUGCGUGGCUGGAGUGCAGGAGGGGCAGGCGGAAUUCCUGGUGUAGCGGUGAAAUGCGUAGAUAUCAGGAGGAACACCGGUGGCGAAGGCGGUCUGCUGGACAGCAACUGACGCUGAGGCGCGAAAGCGUGGGGAGCAAACAGGAUUAGAUACCCUCGUAU